Molecule: ribosomal RNA, 253 nt
Filed under: uncultured Eubacteriales bacterium
Lineage: Bacteria; Bacillati; Bacillota; Clostridia; Eubacteriales
Description: uncultured Clostridiales bacterium partial 16S ribosomal RNA
Rfam family: Bacterial small subunit ribosomal RNA
Source: RNAcentral
UACGUAGGGAGCAAGCGUUGUCCGGAAUUACUGGGCGUAAAGGGUGCGUAGGCGGCGCAGUUAGUCAGAAGUGAAAUAUCGGGGCUUAACCCCGGGGCUGCUUCUGAUACUGCUGUGCUCGAGUGCAGGAGAGGUAAGUGGAAUUCCUAGUGUAGCGGUGAAAUGCGUAGAUAUUAGGAGGAACACCAGUGGCGAAGGCGGAUUGCUGGACAGUAACUGACGCUGAGGCGCGAAGGCGUGGGUAUCGAACAGG